RNAcentral lists this ribosomal RNA (253 nucleotides) under uncultured bacterium. RNAcentral's name for it is "partial 16S ribosomal RNA". It matches the Rfam family "Bacterial small subunit ribosomal RNA", at positions 524 to 776 of the family's 1533-position model. The record is from RNAcentral.
CACGUAGGGUGCAAGCGUUGUCCGGAAUUAUUGGGCGUAAAGAGCUCGUAGGCGGUCUGUUGCGUCCGCUGUGAAAACUCGGGGCUUAACCCCGAGCCUGCAGUGGAUACGGGCAGACUAGAGGUAGGUAGGGGAGAAUGGAAUUCCCGGUGUAGCGGUGAAAUGCGCAGAUAUCGGGAGGAACACCGGUGGCGAAGGCGGUUCUCUGGGCCUUACCUGACGCUGAGGAGCGAAAGCAUGGGUAGCGAACAGG